RNAcentral lists this ribosomal RNA (249 nucleotides) under uncultured bacterium. Its description in RNAcentral is "partial 16S ribosomal RNA". It matches the Rfam family "Bacterial small subunit ribosomal RNA", at positions 524 to 775 of the family's 1533-position model. The record is from RNAcentral.
UACGUAGGGGGCAAGCGUUGUCCGGAUUUAUUGGGCGUAAAGCGCUCGCAGGUGGUCCGAUGCGUCGUGCGUGAAAGACCCCGGCUCAACUGGGGGGUGUCGUGGACUGCACCGCUUGAGGGCGGUAGGGGCUGGUGGAAUGCCUGGUGUAGUGGUGAAAUGCGUAGAGAUCAGGCGGAACACCCGUGGCGAAGGCGGCCAGCUGGGCCGUCCCUGACGCUGAGGCGCGAAGGCGUGGGGAGCGAACGG